GGGGAUGUAUCAGGCAUCGCCUAGAAGAAGAAACUGUUAAAUCAAGCAGACCUGACAUAAGUCUUUAAACUGGGUCAAAGUUAAGUGCAAAACAAUUUGCAAAUGCUGACGUAGAAUACGCUUAUGUGUAAAACUACAAACGGAAUUAUCCUUAUCAGCUGUUCGGCAGACGUGGUCUCUUGGUAACACAUGCCGGGCAAAACCUUACCAAGAAAAUCAUUACUAGCGUGCGCAACAAGGUUUGAGGUUUUACCGCACACGCCGUAACUAAAACUUAUAUGCUUGUAAAAUUUUAACCGUAGAAACUUUUAGCACGGGGGUUCGACUCCCCCCAUCUCCACCA
Molecule: transfer-messenger RNA, 343 nt
Filed under: candidate division WWE3 bacterium RIFCSPLOWO2_01_FULL_39_13
Lineage: Bacteria; candidate division WWE3
Rfam family: transfer-messenger RNA
About the family: Bacterial tmRNA, also known as 10Sa RNA or SsrA, is named for its dual tRNA and mRNA-like properties. Its role is to liberate the mRNA from a stalled ribosome.
Source: RNAcentral